UUGAUUAGUUGUAGUUUUCUAUGA
Molecule: non-coding RNA, 24 nt
Filed under: Rattus norvegicus (Norway rat)
Lineage: Eukaryota; Metazoa; Chordata; Mammalia; Rodentia; Muridae
Source: RNAcentral